ACUAGGCUACCUGCUGGUCGACCAAGAAGUUCAGCAUGCAGCGCCGCUAAUGUUUGCGGAGGAAUCUGACCCGAGGCAGCCAAAGCUUGAAUGUCAAAUCUUCCAAGUGAAUUAAGUUUUACAUUUGAGUCCAUGGGGCCACAGAAUGCAUUGGAAAUCCCACCUUGUUGAGCAACCCCACUUAAUCUCUUCAGAUACAGUCUAAACUUCUGCAAAUGACUUGCAACAUUUUCUCUGGUUAAACCAGGUACAUUCAUCAAUUCUAGAAUUCUCUUAGGUACAGCCU
Molecule: unclassified non-coding RNA, 286 nt
Filed under: Hevea brasiliensis (rubber tree)
Lineage: Eukaryota; Viridiplantae; Streptophyta; Magnoliopsida; Malpighiales; Euphorbiaceae
Source: RNAcentral